CAUGGAGGGUGAGAAUCCCGUCCGGCUGACCUUCAGGACGUUUUACGAUACGCUCUCAAAGAGUCGAGUUGUUUGGGAUUGCAGCUCAAAAUGGGAGGUAAAUUUCUCCUAAGGCUAAAUACCGGCGAGAGACCGAUAGCGAACAAGUACCGUGAGGGAAAGAUGAAAAGAAUUUUGAAAAGAAAGUCAAACAGUACGUGAAAUUGUUGAAAGGGAAACGAUUGAAGCCAGUCGUACCGACGGGAAUUCAACUUCUCGAGUGCUAAUCGUGGGUGACGUUGAGCCUCACGGCCCUCGUUGCUUGUUGGUGCUUUUGGGGUGUACUUUUCCGUAUGGUAGGUCAGCAUCGAUUUCGAUCGUCAUAAAAUGAUCGGGGGAAUGUAGCUUCGGUCUCGUAUCGGAGUGUUAUAGACCUUGGCAGAUGUGACGAUUGGGAUCGAGGAUUGCAACGAAUACCCUCUGGGCUAUCCGUCUGUCCUCUGAAAGUCGCUCGGGUGUCGAAAGCGUGCUUAUGUCUAUUCGAGUUGGCGGUCAAUAGGUUAGAACGUGAUUAUAUUCGUUAAGGAUGUUGACGUAAUGG
Molecule: ribosomal RNA, 580 nt
Filed under: uncultured Glomus
Lineage: Eukaryota; Fungi; Glomeromycota; Glomeromycetes; Glomerales; Glomeraceae
Description: eukaryotic LSU rRNA
Rfam family: Eukaryotic large subunit ribosomal RNA
Source: RNAcentral